RNAcentral lists this unclassified non-coding RNA (317 nucleotides) under uncultured Thelephoraceae. Its description in RNAcentral is "sequence contains 5.8S rRNA gene". The record is from RNAcentral. Lineage: Eukaryota; Fungi; Basidiomycota; Agaricomycetes; Thelephorales; Thelephoraceae.
GAACGCACCUUGCGCCCUUUGGCUAUUCCGAAGGGCAUGCCUGUUUGAGUAUCAUGAACACCUCAACUCUUCGUGGCUUGCCAUGAUGAGCUUGGACUAUGGGGGUCUUGCUGGCCUGCGGUCGGCUCCUCUCAAAUGAAUCAGCUUGCCAGUGUUUGGUGGCGUCACAGGUGUGAUAACUAUCUAUGCUUGUGGCUUUCCACCAGGUAACCUUCAGCGAUGGAGGUUCACUGGGGCUCAUAAACAUCUCUCCUCAGUGAGGACAGCUCUUUGAACGUUUGAUCUCAAAUCAGGUAGGACUACCCGCUGAACUUAAG